This 609-nucleotide ribosomal RNA is filed under the name uncultured bacterium. RNAcentral describes it as "bacterial SSU rRNA". The stretch from base 1 to 535 matches the Rfam family "Bacterial small subunit ribosomal RNA", at positions 338 to 873 of the family's 1533-position model. The record is from RNAcentral.
CCUACGGGAGGCAGCAGUAAGGAAUAUUGGACAAUGCUCGCAAGAGUGAUCCAGCCAUGCCGCGUGCAGGAAGAAUGCCCUAUGGGUAGUAAACUGCUUUUGAACUAGAGAAAACCCCAGUACGUGUACUGGGCUGAUAGUAUAGUUAGAAUAAGCAUCGGCUAACUUCGUGCCAGCAGCCGCGGUAAGACGAAGGAUGCAAGCGUUAUCCGGAUUCAUUGGGUUUAAAGGGAGCGUAGGUGGACUGAUAAGUCAGUGGUGAAAUCUCCGAGCUUAACUCGGAAAUUGCCAUUGAUACUGUUGGUCUUGAGUACAGUUGCUGUGGGCGGAAUAUGACAUGUAGUGGUGAAAUACAUAGAGAUGUCAUAGAACACCGAUUGCGAAGGCAGCUCACAAAGCUGUAACUGACACUGAGGCUCGAAAGUGCGGGGAUCAAACAGGAUUAGAUACCCUGGUAGUCCGCACCGUAAACGAUGAUUACUCGCUGCUAGGGGGCAACCUUUAGUGGCUUAGCGAAAGCGANAAGUAAUCCACCGUGGAGGACGCGCGACGUAGAACGUAAGUAGAGUAGAGCGNGAGAGNGCGACGGACGACACGAGGGAGGUUAGG